GCUGAAGGAUGAGUCCGCGUACCAUUAGCUAGUUGGUAGGGUAAUGGCCUACCAAGGCGACGAUGGUUAGCUGGUCUGAGAGGAUGAUCAGCCACACUGGAACUGAGACACGGUCCAGACUCCUACGGGAGGCAGCAGUGAGGAAUAUUGCGCAAUGGGGGCAACCCUGACGCAGCAACGCCGCGUGAGUGAGGAAGGUUUUCGGACCGUAAAGCUCUGUCGAGCGGGAAGAAAUGCAUGGUGGCUAAUAUCCAUCAUGCUUGACGGUACCGCUAAAGGAAGCACCGGCUAACUCCGUGCCAGCAGCCGCGGUAAUACGGGGGGUGCGAGCGUUGUUCGGAAUUAUUGGGCGUAAAGAGCGUGUAGGCGGCCGAAUAAGUCAGAUGUGAAAUCCCUGGGCUUAACCCAGGACGUGCAUUUGAAACUAUUCGGCUUGAGUAGGGGAGAGGAAAGUGGAAUUCCUGGUGUAGAGGUGAAAUUCGUAGAUAUCAGGAGGAACACCGAUGGCGAAGGCGACUUUCUGGCCCUAUACUGACGCUGAGACGCGAGAGCGUGGGUAGCAAACAGGAUUAGAUACCCUGGUAGUCCACGCUGUAAACGAUGUUCACUAGGUGUUGGGGGUAUUGACCCUCUCAGUGCCGCAGCUAACGCA
This 652-nucleotide ribosomal RNA is filed under the name uncultured bacterium. Its description in RNAcentral is "bacterial SSU rRNA". It matches the Rfam family "Bacterial small subunit ribosomal RNA", at positions 217 to 859 of the family's 1533-position model. The record is from RNAcentral.